CUUGCGAGUUCCGGUUUCAGGAGUCCAUUAGUGCAUACGCACUAGUACUGGAGCCCAGCCUGACGUCCACCAAAUGCAUGUUGUCUAGCCUGCUUUUCAACUAGUUAAAGAUAGCUAGGUGGAGUCUGUGUGUGUACUUCGGUUGGUACCACCGCAUGGUAAAACAACGCACGCAUUGACGCUAUUGAAUGCAUGCGGUUCACAGAACGCACCGCAACGUUUCGGACUGCUCCAUUGACAAUUAACUACUUCCCCAGGAUGCAAAGAGUUUGAUGCAUCUGGUGGGCUUGAGCCCAGAGCAUGAUGGAGUGGGGACCUGCAUUCCAGCACCGGAUUGUGGAUCUUGAUUAGAGGGGAGGGGAAAUAUGCAGGCACAAAAGCACAACCACUGGAAACAUGAAAUAAAUGUUGUCUACAAGGAAAUUAUUCAGGACAAAGACUGUGCUCUAGCUUGCUCUGUGUGUGCACCUCAGAAGACAGUUGGAUGAUAUUUGCUAUUGAACGCAACACAAUCACAACAGCAACUACGGCUUGGUACAGAUAUAGCUUGGUAACGUCAGGUGUAUUCUGGGAGCUGUAGUCCUCUUAUUACAGCAAAACAGGAACUGCAAGAAGUCAGCCAUCAUGGUGCGGAGAUCUGGGUGCUGCUGCAGUGAUGGCUAUACCACAGGGAGUGCUGUUGAUAUCUCCAUGGCUGUGUGCGUACAGCAGUAUGCUCCCUGCAAACUGGCCCUCUCCACAAGUCACCUUGAAUUCUCCCAGCUCUCCACUCUUCUCAGACACAGAAAGUCUUCAAACACACACUGCAGUGCUGCACCCCCACAGUCCCUACUCAGAGCAAACACACAAUUCAAGUAGCUAUUAAACAAACACACCAUCAC
Molecule: long non-coding RNA, 881 nt
Organism: Oncorhynchus tshawytscha (Chinook salmon)
Lineage: Eukaryota; Metazoa; Chordata; Actinopteri; Salmoniformes; Salmonidae
Source: Ensembl